This 2047-nucleotide ribosomal RNA is filed under the name marine metagenome. Its description in RNAcentral is "bacterial LSU rRNA". It matches the Rfam family "Bacterial large subunit ribosomal RNA", at positions 555 to 2444 of the family's 2925-position model. The record is from RNAcentral.
ACCGUGUGCCUACAAACCGUGGGAGUUCUUCUUUAUGAAGAAUGACCGCGUGCCUAUUGAAGAAUGAGCCGGCGAGUUAAUCUGCGUAGCUAGGUUAAGGUAUGACGUACCGGAGCCGUAGCGAAAGCGAGUCUGAAUAGGGCGAUCACCGAUUUAAGAGGAAAUCGUCUUUGAAACUUUUAGUGAACGUUGGAAUAUUGAUUUCUGAUUAGAUCUUCGGAUUUAUGAAGAAUGAAAUAUGAAGGUAAUUAGCGUCGAGUGAAUGAGACGAUGAAAUCUUUGUGUCGAGGGUUGCGCGGAUUAGACCUGAAACCGUGUGAGCUACCCAUGGCCAGGAUGAAGCCCGGAUAAUAUCCGGGUGAAGGUCCGAACCCGUUUACGUUGCAAAGUGAUGGGAUGAGCUGUGGGUAGGGGUGAAAUGCUAAACGAACACGGAGAUAGCUGGUUUUCUCCGAAAUGCAUUUAGGUGCAGCCUCGGAUAAUUACCUCGCGGAGGUAGAGCUCUGGAUGGACUAGGGGGCGUGAGCUUACCAAACCCAACCAAACUCCAAAUGCCGUAGAGGUUUAAUCCGGGAGUGAGACAGUGACGGAUAAGCGCCAUUGUCAAAAGGGAAACAGCCCAGAUCGCCAGCUAAGGCCCCUAAAUACGGACUAAGUGUGAAACGUAGUUGGAAUGCUCAGACAGCCAGGAGGUUGGCUUAGAAGCAGCCACCCUUUAAAGAGUGCGUAAUAGCUCACUGGUCGAGGGUUCCUGCGCGGAAAAUAAACGGGGCUCAAGUCCGUUGCCGAAGCUGCGGGAUUCCAGAGUAAUUCUGGGAUCGGUAGGAGAACGUUCUCAGGGGAUUGAAGGUAGAUUGGAAGGUCUGCUGGACCGCUGAGAAGUGCGAAUGCCGGCAUGAGUAGCGACAAUCCUGGUAAGAAUCCAGGACACCGGAAGUCCAAGGUUUCCUACGCAACGCUGAUCGACGUAGGGUUAGUCGGUCCUAAGGCGAAGCCGAAAGGCGAUGUCGAUGGACAGCAGGUCAAAAUUCCUGCACCACUUAACUUCCGUUUUAAAGUCUCGGGGGGACGCGGAGAGCUAGACGAAGCAUGCCUAUUGGACAUGGUGUGUGUAUUCCUGCAGGCGAGCUGUGGCGUCAAAAAUGCCGUGGUGUUUGAGCUGAGAGGAAUGCGAACCCUUAGGAACUCCUUCGGGAACUUCGUUGAUGCUGAACCGCCUAGAAAAGCCCCGAGUACAAGGAAACGAGUGACCGUACCGCAAACCGACACAGGUGGACAGGGGUAAAUGCCCCCAGGUGACCGGGAGAACCAUCGUUAAGGAACUCGGCAAUCUAACCCCGUAACUUCGGGAUAAGGGGUGCCGCUGACGUAUUAGGAUUUACUCCGAAAAGCAUUGGCGGCCGCAGAGAAUAGGCCCAAGCGACUGUUUAUCAAAAACAUAGGUCCGUGCCAAAGCGCAAGCUGAUGUAUACGGGCUGACGCCUGCCCAGUGCCGGAAGGUUAAGGGGAGGAGUGAGAGCUCCGAACCGAAGCCCCGGUGAACGGCGGCCGUAACUAUAACGGUCCUAAGGUAGCGAAGUCCCUUGUCGGGUAAGUUCCGACCUGCACGAAAGGCGUAACGACUUGGGCGCUGUCUCAACGGUGGACUCGGUGAAAUUGCAGGACCCGUAAAGAUGCGGGUUACCCGCGGCAGGACAAAAAGACCCCGUGGAGCUUUACUGCAGCUUGGCAUUGAAUCGUAGUUAAUGGUGCGCAGGAUAGGUGGGAGGCUUUGAAAUUCUGACUUCGGUCAGGGUGGAGCCGUCGUUGAGAUACCACUCUCCAUUAAUAGCGGUCCUAACCUUUUUUAAGGGACAUUGUCUGGCAGGCAGUUUGACUGGGGCGGUCGCCUCCCAAAAUGUAACGGAGGCGCCCAAAGGUCACCUCAGGCUGGAUGGAAAUCAGUCUUGGAGUGCAUUGGCAUAAGGUGGCUUGACUGCGAGACCUACAAGUCGAGCAGGGACGAAAGUCGGGCAAAGUGAUCCCACGGUACCGAGUGGAAGGGCCG